AGCCAUAAGAUUUUGUGUUGUCUAAUGUCAAAUAACUUUAUAUACAUGAUCUUGAUGUUAAAGAAAAAGAAAAACUUAUAUGCAUGAUCUCAUGAUGCUAAAACAUAUACAAAAUUGUUUCUGCCGUAUAUCUACUUUAUUGAAAAUUAAAAAUGAAAGCUCCUAGCAGUAGAAUCAUUUAGACAUUUUAACGAAUCCCGUAUAUCAUUAAAUACACUUUGAAAGAUAAAAGCUCAAACCUAAUUUAUCAUCCAAUGACAAAAAUAAAACCUAUUUUUUUGCAAAAAAAAGACACAAGCGGUGCCCUUCUUCUCACGAACCGUGGCAGCACCACCACCGGACUUCAGCAAAGCAAUCCUGCAAUAUUCUUCCACAGAGGCACCAACAAAUUCUUCUAGAUACAUGCAAGCACAUGUGAAGAAAGCACAACAUCUCUUGAUUCAAUCUUCAUAAGAAAAGCUCUAUCUCAAUUACAAAAAAAAAAAAAAAAAGCUCUAUCUAAUACCCGUGAAAGGCUCUCCCGAUAGAUUGAGGAUGAUGAGGAUAUUAUUUCCAGAUGAAGAGAAAAGCAAGUUGGGAAAAACAAAAGAGCAAGUUCGGUGAAAU
This 606-nucleotide long non-coding RNA is filed under the name Brassica napus (rape). RNAcentral describes it as "long non-coding RNA (BNAP_LNC008819)". The record is from RNAcentral. Lineage: Eukaryota; Viridiplantae; Streptophyta; Magnoliopsida; Brassicales; Brassicaceae.